This 570-nucleotide ribosomal RNA is filed under the name uncultured bacterium. RNAcentral describes it as "partial 16S ribosomal RNA". It matches the Rfam family "Bacterial small subunit ribosomal RNA", at positions 356 to 919 of the family's 1533-position model. The record is from RNAcentral.
UGGGAAUUUUGGACAAUGGGCGCAAGCCUGAUCCAGCCAUGCCGCGUGCGGGAAGAAGGCCUUCGGGUUGUAAACCGCUUUUGUCAGGGAAGAAAUCUUCUGAGUUAAUACCUCGGGAGGAUGACGGUACCUGAAGAAUAAGCACCGGCUAACUACGUGCCAGCAGCCGCGGUAAUACGUAGGGUGCAAGCGUUAAUCGGAAUUACUGGGCGUAAAGCGUGCGCAGGCGGUUUUGUAAGACAGAGGUGAAAUCCCCGGGCUCAACCUGGGAACUGCCUUUGUGACUGCAAGGCUUGAGUGCGGCAGAGGGGGAUGGAAUUCCGCGUGUAGCAGUGAAAUGCGUAGAUAUGCGGAGGAACACCGAUGGCGAAGGCAAUCCCCUGGGCCUGCACUGACGCUCAUGCACGAAAGCGUGGGGAGCAAACAGGAUUAGAUACCCUGGUAGUCCACGCCCUAAACGAUGUCAACUGGUUGUUGGGAAGGUUCCUUCUCAGUAACGUAGCUAACGCGUGAAGUUGACCGCCUGGGGAGUACGGCCGCAAGGUUGAAACUCAAAUGAAUUGACGGGGU